UACGAAGGGUGCAAGCGUUACUCGGAAUUACUGGGCGUAAAGCGUGCGCAGGCGGAUUGCUAAGACAGAUGUGAAAUCCCCGGGCUUAACCUGGGAACUGCGUUUGUAACUGGCAAGCUAGAGUGUGGCAGAGGGGGGUGGAAUUCCAAGUGUAGCAGUGAAAUGCGUAGAUAUUUGGAGGAACACCGAUGGCGAAGGCAGCCCCCUGGGCUAACACUGACGCUCAUGCACGAAAGCGUGGGGAGCAAACAGG
RNAcentral lists this ribosomal RNA (253 nucleotides) under uncultured bacterium. Its description in RNAcentral is "partial 16S ribosomal RNA". It matches the Rfam family "Bacterial small subunit ribosomal RNA", at positions 524 to 776 of the family's 1533-position model. The record is from RNAcentral.